AGUCGAUCAUGGCUCAGAUUGAACGCUGGCGGGAUGCUUUGGCGCAUAGCGUAAGCCGAACGGCAGCACGGGCCUCGGUCUGGUGGCGAGUGGCGAACGGGUGAGUAAUGGUAUCGGAACGUAAAGUCAGUAGCGGAGGAUAACUACGUGGGUGCUAGCGAAUACCGCAUACAGCCCUUUCGGGGGAAAGCGGGGGACCUUCGGGCCUCUGCACUAUUAGAGCGGCUGAUAUCGGAUUAGCCAGUUGUGCAACGGCUCACCAAGGCGACGAUCCGUAGCUGGUUUGAGAGGACGACCAGCCACACACUUUGGACUGGAGACACGGCCCAGACUCCUACGGGAGGCAGCAGUGGGGAAUUUUGGACAAUGGGGGAACUCCUGAUCCAGCCAUCCUUGCGGGAAGAUGCAUGCCUUCGGUUGUAAAAAGCACUUUUUGGUAGAAAGAAAUGGCACGGGAUAAUACCCCGUGCACCCUGACGGUACCUUGCAGAAUAAGCACCGGCUAACUACGUGCCAGCAGCCGCGGUAAUACGUAGGGUGCAAGCGUUAAUCGGAAUACUGGCGUAAAGCGUGCGCAGGCGGUUCGGAAAGAAAGAUGGUGAAAUCCCAGAGCUUAACUUUGAACUGCAUUUAAUCACCGAGCUAGAGUGUGUCAGGAGGGAGGUGAAUUCCGGCGUGUAGCAGUAAAUGCGUAGAUAUGCGGAGGAACACCGAUGGCGAAGGCAGCCUCCUGGGAUAACACUUGACGCUCAUGCACGAAAGCGUGGGGAGCAAACAGCAUUAGAUAAUUCUAUAGUCCACGCCCUAAACGAUGUCAACUAGCUGUUGGGGCUCGCCUUGGUAGCGCAGCUAACGCGUGAAGUUGACCGCCUGGGGAGUACGGUCGCAAGAUUAAAACUCAAAGGAAUUGACGGGGACUCCGCACAAGCGGUGGAUGAUGUGGAUUAAUUCGAUGCAACGCGAAAAACCUUACCUACCCUUGACAUGUCUGGAAUCCCCUUAAAGAGAUUUGGGGAGGUUCGCAAGAGAACCGGAACACAGGUGCUGCAUGGCUGUCGUCAGCUCGUGUCGUGAGAUGUUGGGUUAAGUCCUGCAACGAGCGCAACCCUUGUCAUUAGUUGCUACGAAAGGGCACUCUAAUGAGACUGCCGGUGACAAACCGGAGGAAGGUGGAUGACGUCGAGUCUCGCGGCCCUUAUGGGUAGGGCUUCACACGUCAUACAAUGGUCGGGACAGAGGGUCGCCAACUCAUGAGGGGGAGCCAUCCUAGAAACUGAUCGGGUCUGAUCGCAGUCUGCAACUCGACUGCGUGAAGUCGGAAUCGCCAGUAAUCGCGGAUCAGCAUGUCGCGGUGAAUACGUUCCCGGGUCUUGUACACACCGCCCGUCACACCAUGGGGAGUGGGUUUUACCAGAAGUAGUUAGCCUAACCGUAAGGAGGGCGAUUACCAACAGUAGGAUUCAUGACUGGGGUAAAGUCGUAACAAGGCAGU
This 1492-nucleotide ribosomal RNA is filed under the name uncultured Bordetella sp. Its description in RNAcentral is "partial 16S-23S ribosomal RNA intergenic spacer". It matches the Rfam family "Bacterial small subunit ribosomal RNA". The record is from RNAcentral. Lineage: Bacteria; Pseudomonadati; Pseudomonadota; Betaproteobacteria; Burkholderiales; Alcaligenaceae.